CCUACGUGGAGCAGCAGUGAGGAAUAUUGGUCAAUGGACGAGAGUCUGAACCAGCCAAGUAGCGUGAAGGAUGACUGCCCUAUGGGUUGUAAACUUCUUUUAUAUGGGAAUAAAAUGUUCCACGUGUGGGAUUUUGUAUGUACCAUAUGAAUAAGGAUCGGCUAACUCCGUGCCAGCAGUCGCGGUAAUACGGAGGAUCCGAGCGUUAUCCGGAUUUAUUGGGUUUAAAGGGAGCGUAGGUGGAUUGUUAAGUCAGUUGUGAAAGUUUGCGGCUCAACCGUAAAAUUGCAGUUGAAACUGGCAGUCUUGAGUACAGUAGAGGUGGGCGGAAUUCGUGGUGUAGCGGUGAAAUGCUUAGAUAUCACGAAGAACUCCGAUUGCGAAGGCAGCUCACUGGACUGCAACUGACACGGAGGCUCGAAAGUGUGGGUAUCAAACAGGAUUAGAUACCCUGGUAGUC
Molecule: ribosomal RNA, 460 nt
Filed under: uncultured bacterium
Lineage: Bacteria
Description: partial 16S ribosomal RNA
Rfam family: Bacterial small subunit ribosomal RNA
Source: RNAcentral